Molecule: ribosomal RNA, 83 nt
Filed under: Candidatus Thalassarchaeaceae archaeon
Lineage: Archaea; Methanobacteriati; Thermoplasmatota; Candidatus Poseidoniia; Candidatus Poseidoniales; Candidatus Thalassarchaeaceae
Description: partial 16S ribosomal RNA
Rfam family: Archaeal small subunit ribosomal RNA
Source: RNAcentral
GGGGUAUUCGAGCCUGCCUUCGACAAGGAGGGUUAAGUCGUAACAAGGUAUCUGUAGGGGAACCUGCAGAUGGAUCACCUCCU